AUUCCAUGAUGGGGACAUUCUAGGAUGUAGUCUUGGAAGCGCUCCCAUGCCUCUGGAACGGAUUCAUCAUGUUGUUGCUGAAAACUUGAAAUCUUCCCAUGGAGAGC
Small nucleolar RNA from Sorghum bicolor (sorghum), 107 nucleotides. It matches the Rfam family "Plant small nucleolar RNA R71". From Rfam's summary of the family: R71 is a member of the C/D box family of snoRNAs containing the C (UGAUGA) and D (CUGA) box motifs. Multiple nearly identical copies of this snoRNA have been identified in Arabidopsis, and it is thought to function as a 2'-O-ribose methylation guide for 18S ribosomal RNA. Lineage: Eukaryota; Viridiplantae; Streptophyta; Magnoliopsida; Poales; Poaceae. The record is from Rfam.